CAGGGAGACAACAAAAUGUUUAAUAUUAUUAUUUUGUCACCUUAGGUCGAUCGGUAUCUCACGUUUUUAAUUUAUUAAGAAUUUCAUUUCCUAAGUUUUUCUAGGUCACACCCAUUAUUUUUCCUGGGCCAUUAGCUCAGGUGGUUAGAGCGCACCCCUGAUAAGGGUGAGGUCCCUGGUUCAAGUCCAGGAUGGCCCAUAUCUCUAUGUUGGGGGUAUAGCUCAGUUGGUAGAGCGCCUGCUUUGCAAGCAGGAUGUCAGCGGUUCGAGUCCGCUUACCUCCACUGAUUACCACCUCUUCCAUAACCGGUAGAAAGGAAAUGUUUUGAGUUGUGAUCAAUUCUGAAAGAAUCUAGCUUCCUAAUGAAAUCAUUAAGAUGCUGGACUCAUUGAAUUAAUUUCAUUGUUUUCAGAGAACCUUGACAACUGCAUAGAUUAUUUUUAAAGACAAUAAGCAUCUUUAAGAUGCAGAUUUAUUAUUUGUGCGAAUGCAUUAAAUAACAAUUCUAUUAAGCUGAUGCUUCAAUUUUUGAAGUUAUU
Molecule: transfer RNA, 540 nt
Filed under: uncultured Prochlorococcus sp.
Lineage: Bacteria; Bacillati; Cyanobacteriota; Cyanophyceae; Synechococcales; Prochlorococcaceae
Description: partial 16S-23S ribosomal RNA intergenic spacer
Rfam family: tRNA (bases 212-284)
Source: RNAcentral